Molecule: long non-coding RNA, 7013 nt
Organism: Ictalurus punctatus (channel catfish)
Lineage: Eukaryota; Metazoa; Chordata; Actinopteri; Siluriformes; Ictaluridae
Source: Ensembl
UGCUGAAAAAGUCAAUGCUUAAAUGCAUUAAGUUAACACCACACACCUUGUGUCUCAGCGUGGAGUCCAUGCUUGGAGAUGUUUGGGUGGCCCAAGAAGGACCUGCACAAUAUCAGGUAGGUGGUUUUAAUAUUAUGGCUGAUUGGUGUGUAUCUGCGCAAAUGUUGCGCAUUUGUAACGCGCAUGAAGGCAUCCUUUGAAUGUAUGGCGGCGUCGUUUGUGUGGAUUAUGCGUCAACAUUUCUGUCCUGGUUAUGGAAACGUUUAUGAUUCAUGCGAUUAUAUGUAGACAAUAAACUAGUGUUUAAAAAAACAAAACAAAUGAGAGAGAUGUUUUUUUAAAGAAGUAGCGCUAGAAUUGAGUGCUGUUACUAUACGGAGCUAAAUAGCUAGCUUAGCUUCCUGCAUUAAGGCCUAAUUGUGAGCUUGGCACGUUUUAGGAAGCAACCUUGGGGAUAGAUAUGAGUGUUUAGUUACAUGUUGUAUCAUUUUGAAUUUAGUCGGUUAAUCUGCUUUGAAAUUAUAUAGUGAGGUUCUGCAAACAUGUUAAAUGACCUGAGCAUUGGAUGAUGAUGAUGAUGAUGACCUGCUAAUUUAGACAUUGAUCUCUGAAGGCUUUAUUCUGAAGGUCCACCUUCCUCUGAGCUGAAGCUUUAUCUCCUAGAACAGCAGCAAACAUGACUGGAAUCCAAUCCAGAGAUGAGUCGGUUGGAGACAGUUCUGAUGAUGAACCUCUGAGUAAAAUGGUGAAACCUGGCAAGAAGUGUCCAGAAGAUGCACCCUCGGAUAUCAUGGAAGAUGCUUCACCAAAGAAAACCCUUAAAGAGCCCACCUCUGCUGCGGAUGUUCCAGCAUCCCAGGUUUUCCCAGGGUUUCCUCAGGGUUCUCCAGUUUCCUCCCAGGUCCCACAAAACAAGUGCCCUGGACACAGCUCUGAUGACGAGCCUCUGAGCAAACUGACUGAAUCAAAGGGGGCGAAGCGCUCAAGUAAACAAAAAGAGACUGCUGCGGGGAAGCAGUCAGAAUCUGAAGACGAUCAGCCGCUGACGAUGAUUAUCAAGAAGAAGAAGCAGAAGGCUGACACAGAAGAGCCUGAAGAUGCCAAGAAGACCAGAAGCCCAAAAAAGCGUAAAGCUGUGACGAAGGCCUCAAAGCUCAGAGAUUCAUCACCCUCGCCAUCGCCGUCGCCAGUGAAGGCCACACAGAGAAGAGGACAAAAAGGUAAGGACGAGUCGAAAAAGAAAGUACCGGCACAUUCACCAGCUGUGAACACGACGCCUAAAAGGAGAGGUCGCGCCAAGAAAGAAGGAAAAGCCCCGUGUAGCGACAGCUCGGAUGACGAGCCCUUGAGCGAGCUGCCGUGGAAGAGGAGCGAGCCAGAGAUGAAGCAGGCGGUGGUGCUGGUGGAGAGGAUGUCUGAAAGAGACGUUAAGGAUGCAGUGGCACGCGGACGUGCACACAGCCAAGAGCAGAAAAGUACAGCCAGAGCAGAUGCCAGUUCAGACGACGAGCCCUUGGUGAGGAAAGUGAAAGCAGCGAAGGUGAAGGAUAAGUUUAGAAAGAGAGCUAACGGAGAAGAGGACACAGUCAAACAAGACAGAGAGCUGAGCGAGGAGGACGAGCGUCCACACUGAGAGCCUGGCAGUAGUCACACACAACACAACACGUCUCGCACACGAAUUUAACAGAAGAAACGAGAAGAGGACUCGCUUGUUUCACCGUUCUGUGGAUCAGUAGUUCUGUGCUCAUUCCUUUAUUUAUGUAUAGGAAUAACGUCGCAUUUUCUGAACUCCUAAACCCCGAAACGUGAAUCCCUUUCACUCCAUAACACAUUGAAAAGCUUGAAGUAGUUUCUUUUAUAUUGUUUUAGCAUUUUAAAUUUUGUAUGGUCUUAACCAGGCUUCGGCCUUUUACAUCGUGUACGCUGAUGGUUUUUGAUUUGUAUUUUAAAACAAACAAAAAAAAGUCACUAAAUGUUAUUUACAUAGUUUCUAGGAAGGAAAGUGAAAUGAAAUGUGUUUUUUGAUAAUAUUGACGUGUACACAAGUAUAAACGCAGUGGUGUGAGAGAUAAAUGUGGAGAACGCUGUACAGUAGUUUUCUUUUUGUUUUUUGAUGACCGUUGUUUAGUUUCUUGUGAUUUAAUGUGAUUUUACCAGAUCAGAUUGUUGGAAUUCCCAACAAAUGAAAUAUUCCCGCUGUCAAUACAAUCUAAAGGCUUAAAAAAAUAAAUUACAUCAGUGACUUUGUAAUGAAAAUUGUAGGAACUCUGUGGUUAUUGCCUCUCACCGCUUUUUUCUUUACCGAACCAUACCAUUUUGUCACUCGGCUCUAAUAUAAAUGUCAAGCUUUAGCAAAAAGCUAUAUACAGUCCCCUUCGACACUAUUGGAAAGAAAAGGAAAAUUCAUUUGUUUUUGCUGUAGACUUAAGACAUUUGGGUUUGAGGUCAAAAGAUGAAUAUGAGAAGAGAGUUUUGAAUUUUAGCUUUUAUUUCCUGAUAUUUAUAUGUAAAUGUCUUCAACAAUAUAGAACACAGCACACUUUAUAUCAGAUUACAAAAUUUUGUAGGUGAGCAAAAAAUACUGGAACAUGUGACUGACAGGUGUUUCCUUGUUACCCAGGUGUGUCCUGUUAGAUUGAUUGAUUGCUUGCUUAAACAAUAAAUAGCUCUGAGCAUCUACUCUUGGUUUUAGCUUUCAGUUUCUCCUGUGAAGACUGCAUUUGUUGUUAAAAAGGAUAAACUAACAUGAAGAUCACAGAGCUGUCUAUGGGAGAAAAAUCCAUCAGAGUCACUGCACAAACACUGGGCAUAGCCAAUAGAACAACUUGGAAUGUCCUGAAAAAGAAAGAAACCACUGUUGUACUGAGCAACAGACACCACUGAAUGGGUCGGACAAGGAAAAGAACAACAGCUGAUGACAAACAUUGUAAGAACUGUGAAGAAAAACCCAAAAACAACAGUUAGUGACCUCACCAACAACCUCCACAGGGCUGGGGUAAAGGUAUUUCAAUCCACCAUUUGAAGAAAACUUCAAGUGCAGAAAUAUAGAGGCCAUACCACAAGAUGUAAACCACUCAUCAGCAGUAAGAAUCAGAAAGCCAGGUUGGAAUUCACAAAGAAAUACAGACAUGAGCCACAAAAGUUCUGGAACCAAGAUUAAGCUCUUCCAAAGUGAUUGAAAGUUCAAAGUGUGGAGAAAGAAAGGAUCUGCUCAUAAUUCAAAACAUACGAGCUCAUCUGUGAAACAUGGUGGAGGAACUGUUAUGGAUUGGGUUUGCAUGUCUGCUUCUGGAACAGUCUCACUAAUUUUUAUUGAUGAUGUCACUUGUGAUGGUAGCAGAAGAAUGAAUUCAGAAGUUUACAGGAACAUUUGUCUGCCAAUUUACAGAGAAAUGAAUGAAGAUUAAUAAGGAGGAAUUUUAUCAUGCAGCAAGACAAUGAUCCAAAACACACUGCCAACUCAACAAAGGACUUCAUCAGUGGGGGGAAAGUGGAAGGAUUUAGAACCUCCUGAAGAGAGAAACCUCACGACAACAAACAACUGAAAGAAGCUGCGGUAAAAGCCUGAAAAAUCAUCACAAAAGAAGAAACCAACUUCAUGACUUAUCUUUUCCUAUACUUUUGCUUGCCUAAAAAUUGGGUGGUCUGAUGCAAAAGGUUAUGUUGUUUAAACACGUCUAGAUGUAAAUACCAGGAAAUAAAAGCUGAAAUCCUAAUCCCUCAUCUCAUAUCCAUCUUUUGAUCUAAAACCCAAAUGUUUUUGGUGUACAGCACAAACAAAUUAAUUUGCCUUGCCGUUCCAGUAGGUACAGAGGGGACUGUACCACCUGAACUGAUUGUUCUUCUGCUUCUGGACCAUUUGCUAUAUCAGAACUUUCCCGGUUCGAUCCUGAGCUCGGGUUACUGUCUUUGUGGAGCUUUGCAUGUUCUCUGGUUUCCUCUGACUGUCCAAAAAUCCAAAAACAUACCCAUCCGUGGAUGGAUUACACAAAAUUGUGCCUAGGUGUGCGUGACAGUGUGUAUGGUUGGUGCGCUGUGAUGCACAGAUGUACCAUCUCAUGUGUAUCCCCACCUCACGCCGGGCUCCGGUUCCAGGAUAGUGGCUACCGAAAAUAAAUGAUCGAAUUAAUUGUUAGUAUUAUAUCACACAUUAUUAAACUGCACAUACACUAGAGGCUAGGUUUGCUGUGUUAGAAAUCUGAAUGGUUUCAUAUCUAAUUAGAUUGUAGCUAGCGGAGCUGCUAAAGCUUUCUCUUCUAAACUGAGUUUUUUUGUUGACUUUUUUAAAAAAUCCCUCCUUCAAGUGGUUAUAUCACUUAACAAUUAUUAAAUACGCAAGAUGCAUCUUUUAUUUAUCGCAAAACAACACAAUAGUUUGUUAAACUAUAUAAUAAUCAUAAUAAACUGCAGAUAUACUGUAGAUAUUUAGGUGUUUUGCCAUACUGGUAGUUUUUAAAGGUAGUGUUAAAGUUGCUGAAUGUAAUGUAAAGUAAUGUAAUGAAAGCCGACCCCAUCUUUUCUGCAUUAUAGGUAUUAAUACAUCGACAAUGAAGCCUGAGUAAUGUUAUCUCUCAGGGUCUCACUGAUGCUAUAAUAAGGAACUAUUACACACACUCAAAGACAAAUUGGUAGCUGUAUUCAUGAUUUAUAAUUUAAGUAUUUGUAAAUAGUCUGUAAAUCUGUAUUUCCUCUGAAUACCGAAAAUGCGAAAUGGAAAAGCUGCAACGCCUUCUAUUAAAAACAAACAGAAACCUCCAAGAUGCACUAAACUUACAGUUCUGUUGUCUGUCGUUUUGUGUAAUUUGUACUUUGAUUCAACAAUGUGAGCUUAAUUUACUUUUUUUUUUUCCUACAAAGGCAUUUUUUGGGGGAAAAGGGAUGCACUAUGUUCAUGUUCUUUACAGCCGAGACUGUAUUUCACCUGCGUCUUAACAACCACUUCUGAUACUGUGUUACGGAUGUUUCAUCGAAGCAGGCUGAAGAUGGAGAUCAAAUCUGUUUCACUAAGUGUAAUCAACUGAAACGACAAUCACUGAGAAGGUGCAAGAAACUAUAGUCUGGGAUAGAAAGAAAUCAGUCCCAGACUCAAGUCUUCAUACUGUUCUCUGUAUAUUUCUAAUGACCAGUGGUGGUGAUGUUGCGCUUAGUUGAGAAGAAAUCUCAAAUAAUCCUUUUUUCCAGACUUUUAUUAACAGCAUAUAAUCUGAGCUGGAUGCCUAAAUAUUAAACUGUAUAUUUUGUUUUUGAAAUAUGGUGGGGGAGAGGUGAUAUAUAGAUAGGAUAGAGUGCCCUCCAUUAAUAUUGGCAUCCUUGGUAAAUUUGAGCAAAGAAUGCUGUGAAAAAUUGUCUUUAUUGUUUAACGUUUUGAUCUUUUGUUAAAAAAAUUCACAAAAAUACACUGCUCUCAUGGAUAUCAAACAAUUGCGAACACAGCACAGGUUUAUAAAAAAAUGUUUUAAAAAAAUUUUUGUUAAAAAAACAAAAAAAUUUUUGUUAAAUGUAGGUGUGCAACAGUUAUUGGCACCCUUUUAGUCAAUACUCUGUGCUACCUCUUUGCCAAGAUAACCGCUCUGAGUCUUCUCCUAUAAUGCCUGAUGAGGUUGGAGAAUACACGACAAGGGAUCUGAGACCAUUCCUCCACACAGAAUCUCUCCAGAUCCUUCAAAUUUCGAGGUCCACGCUGGUGGACUCUCCUCUUCAGUUCACCCACAGAUUUUCUAUGGGGUUCAGGUCAGGGGACUGGGAUGGUCAUGGCAGGACCUUGAUUUUGUGGUGAGUAAACCAUUUUUGUCUUGAUUCUGAUGUAUGUUUUAUAUCAUUGUCCUGCUGGAAGAGCCAACCACGGACCAUUUUAGCUUUCUGGCAGAGCGAGUAAGGUUUUCAUUUAAUAUCUGUUGAUAUUUGGUAGAGUCCAUGAUGCCAUGUAUCCUAACAAAAUGUCCAGGUCCUCUGGCAGAAAAACAGCCCCAAAAACAUAAAAGAGUCACCACCAUAUUUAACCGUGGGCAUGAGGUACUUUUCCAUAUGGCUACCUCUCUGUGCGCACCAAAACCACCUCUGGUGUUUAUUACCAAAAAGCUCUAUUUUGGUUUCAUCUGACCAUAGAACCCAAUUCCAUUUUAAGUUCCAGUAGUGUCUGGCAAACUGAAAACGCUCAAGUUUGUUUUUGGAGGAGAGUAGAGGCUUUUUUCUUGAAACCCUUCCAAACAACUUGUGGUGAUGUAGGUGACUUCGGAUUGCAGUUUUGGAGACUUUCUGACCGCAAGACGCAACUAACUUCUGCAAUUUUCCAGCUUUGUUGAACAAUUACCUGUUCAUAGUCACCCAGGUGUACUAAAAAUGUAAAAUAUCAAUGAGAAUAUACUUUUUUUUCUCAAAUGAAUUCAUAGGGGUGCCAAUAAUUGUUGCACAACUAUAUUUAACAAAGAUAUAUAUUUUUAUAAACCUGUGUUGUGUUUGCAAUUGUUUGAUAUCCAUGAGAGCAGAGUAUUUUUGUGAAUUAUUUGAACAAAAUAUCAAAAAGUUAAACAAUAAAGACAAUUUUUCACAGCCUUCUUUGCUCAUAUUUACCAAGGGUGCCAAUAUUAGUGGAGGGUGCUGUAGAUACAUUAUUGAUCUCCUGAGAGAAAUUGCAGUGUUACAGUAGUGGUAAAAAAAAAAAAACAUUUUCAGAUAUCAUGAAUACAAUGAAAAAAAUGUGAAACAAAUAAGUAUAGUGCAUAAACAAAACAAACAACAAUAAUCUAGCCAUACUAACACAAUUAUACCAUCCAUCCAUGUCCAAAACAAAUAAUGUCCAUCCUGUGUUGGUUCCUUUCCACUGAUGGACAGGGUAGCUUCAGGACUUGACAGAUAUAAUUACAGUCAGUAAUUGUAUAUUGUAUACAGUAUGAUUUAUGAGUGGAAUCGAUGUAGCUGCGCAUUUCCUGCGCAGAGAUGAUAAUCAGAAACGCACUCCGUCAGCGAACGUUGGUUAAAGAGCUUUUUUGUCCUUCGUCGCAAUCCGUAGCUGA